UCCUUUUGCAUUUUCUGUUUCUUUUCAUCAUCUAGUUCUUUCUUUGAAAAUCUAUUAUAACAAGUUUAUAUUUUAUUUUUAUUUUUCUCUUUAUAUUUCUUUUAGUUCUGUGUUUAUUUUGAACAUUCUAUGUAUUAAUGUAUAAUUGGUUUUGACCUGGUACCUUCAUAGGAGCAUUCAACUGGGAGACAAUCAUAGAUUCUAAUAUGGAAUCUGCCAUUAAUUGGCUUAUGAAAUUGGGAAAAUAAAUUUAUAUGGGCCUAAGUUUGUUCAUCUGUGUAAUGAAAAUGAUGGAUUACUGUGUAGCAGGCAGCAAGACUGAAGAUGACAGAUACAGUACCUUGUCCUAAGAAGCUUACAGUGUAGUAGGGAAGAAAAUUGGAAAACAAACUCUUAGAAUAUAGUUUGGUAACAGAUGUGAUACUCUUUCCCAUAUGCAUAAAGGGAUUGUGCUUAAACUGAGUCUUAAAGGAUGUGUCUGAAUUAUCAUAGUAAAGGCGUGGAACAUUAUAAUUCCUUUCAGGGAGAAUAGCAUGUGUAAAG
Molecule: long non-coding RNA, 543 nt
Filed under: Marmota monax (woodchuck)
Lineage: Eukaryota; Metazoa; Chordata; Mammalia; Rodentia; Sciuridae
Source: RNAcentral